RNAcentral lists this ribosomal RNA (229 nucleotides) under uncultured bacterium. RNAcentral describes it as "partial 16S ribosomal RNA". It matches the Rfam family "Bacterial small subunit ribosomal RNA", at positions 568 to 796 of the family's 1533-position model. The record is from RNAcentral.
CGCGUAGGCGGUGGUGUAAGUCUGAUGUGGAAGCCCACGGCUCAACCGUGGAAUUGCAUCGGAAACUGCAUCACUUGAGUCAGCGAGGGGAGGGCGGAAUUCCUGGUGUAGCAGUGAAAUGCGUAGAUAUCAGGAGGAAGGCCGGCGGCGAAGGCGGCCCUCUGGCGCUUGACUGACGCUGAGGCGCGAAAGCGUGGGGAGCAAACAGGAUUAGAUACCCUGGUAGUCC